Molecule: unclassified non-coding RNA, 313 nt
Filed under: plant metagenome
Description: partial contains 5.8S ribosomal RNA, internal transcribed spacer 2, and large subunit ribosomal RNA
Rfam family: 5.8S ribosomal RNA (bases 1-105)
Source: RNAcentral
GAAAUGCGAUACGUAGUGUGAAUUGCAGAAUUCAGUGAAUCAUCGAAUCUUUGAACGCACAUUGCGCCCUUUGGUAUUCCAAAGGUCAUGCCUGUUCGAGCGUCAUUUGUACCCUCAAGCUUUGCUUGGUGUUGUGCGUCUUUUGUCUUUGGCCUCGCCCAAAGACUCGCCUUAAAACGAUUGGCAGCCGGCCUACUGGUUUCGCAGCGCAGCACAUUUUUGCGCUUGCAAUCAGCACAAGGACGGCAAUCCAUCAAGACUACAUUUUUACGUUUGACCUCGGAUCAGGUAGGGAUACCCGCUGAACUUAAGC